GCCAGGCGUGGUGGCGCAUACCUGUAGUCCCAGCUACUUGGGAGGCUGAGGUAGGAGAAUCACUUGAGCCUAGGAGCUCGAGGCUGCAGUGAGCUAUAACUGAGCCACUGCACUCCAGCCUGGGCAACAGAGACCCUGUCUUUA
Molecule: non-coding RNA, 144 nt
Filed under: Chlorocebus sabaeus (green monkey)
Lineage: Eukaryota; Metazoa; Chordata; Mammalia; Primates; Cercopithecidae
Source: Rfam by way of RNAcentral